UACGAAGGGGGCUAGCGUUGCUCGGAUUGACUGGGCGUAAAGGGCGCGUAGGCGGUUCGUACAGUCAGACGUGAAAUUCCUGGGCUCAACCUGGGGGCUGCGUUUGAUACGUGCGGGCUUGAGUUCGGAAGAGGGUCGUGGAAUUCCCGGUGUAGCGGUGAAAUGCGCAGAUAUCGGGAGGAACACCAAUGGCGAAGGCAGCUCGCUGGGACGUUACUGACGCUGAGACGCGAAAGCGUGGGGAGCAAACAGG
Molecule: ribosomal RNA, 253 nt
Filed under: uncultured bacterium
Lineage: Bacteria
Description: partial 16S ribosomal RNA
Rfam family: Bacterial small subunit ribosomal RNA
Source: RNAcentral